UUGCAAUUUGCAGGAAUUUGUCACGCUUUUCAGGUGAUCACACUAGUCGCAUUAUAUAUCUUCCAUUGCUAGGAGAAAAACAAGAAAGAAAAUGGUGGCAGGAGCAAGGAAAAUGUAUCAAGAGAU
Molecule: long non-coding RNA, 126 nt
Filed under: Felis catus (domestic cat)
Lineage: Eukaryota; Metazoa; Chordata; Mammalia; Carnivora; Felidae
Description: lncRNA (ENSFCAG00000041182.2)
Source: RNAcentral